Molecule: ribosomal RNA, 1372 nt
Filed under: uncultured bacterium
Lineage: Bacteria
Description: bacterial SSU rRNA
Rfam family: Bacterial small subunit ribosomal RNA
Source: RNAcentral
GAUAAACGCUGGCGGCGUGCCUAAUACAUGCAAGUCGAGCGAACGGACGAGAAGCUUGCUUCUCUGAUGUUAGCGGCGGACGGGUGAGUAACACGUGGAUAACCUACCUAUAAGACUGGGAUAACUUCGGGAAACCGGAGCUAAUACCGGAUAAUAUUUUGAACCGCAUGGUUCAAAAGUGAAAGACGGUCUUGCUGACACUUAUAGAUGGAUCCGCGCUGCAUUAGCUAGUUGGUAAGGUAACGGCUUACCAAGGCAACGAUGCAUAGCCGACCUGAGAGGGUGAUCGGCCACACUGGAACUGAGACACGGUCCAGACUCCUACGGGAGGCAGCAGUAGGGAAUCUUCCGCAAUGGGCGAAAGCCUGACGGAGCAACGCCGCGUGGGUGAUGAAGGUCUUCGGAUCGUAAAACUCUGUUAUUAGGGAAGAACAUAUGUGUAAGUAACUGUGCACAUCUUGACGGUACCUAAUCAGAAAGCCACGGCUAACUACGUGCCAGCAGCCGCGGUAAUACGUAGGUGGCAAGCGUUAUCCGGAAUUAUUGGGCGUAAAGCGCGCGUAGGCGGUUUUUUAAGUCUGAUGUGAAAGCCCACGGCUCAACCGUGGAGGGUCAUUGGAAACUGGAAAACUUGAGUGCAGAAGAGGAAAGUGGAAUUCCAUGUGUAGCGGUGAAAUGCGCAGAGAUAUGGAGGAACACCAGUGGCGAAGGCGACUUUCUGGUCUGUAACUGACGCUGAUGUGCGAAAGCGUGGGGAUCAAACAGGAUUAGAUACCCUGGUAGUCCACGCCGUAAACGAUGAGUGCUAAGUGUUAGGGGGUUUCCGCCCCUUAGUGCUGCAGCUAACGCAUUAAGCACUCCGCCUGGGGAGUACGACCGCAAGGUUGAAACUCAAAGGAAUUGACGGGGACCCGCACAAGCGGUGGAGCAUGUGGUUUAAUUCGAAGCAACGCGAAGAACCUUACCAAAUCUUGACAUCCUUUGACAACUCUAGAGAUAGAGCCUUCCCCUUCGGGGGACAAAGUGACAGGUGGUGCAUGGUUGUCGUCAGCUCGUGUCGUGAGAUGUUGGGUUAAGUCCCGCAACGAGCGCAACCCUUAAGCUUAGUUGCCAUCAUUAAGUUGGGCACUCUAAGUUGACUGCCGGUGACAAACCGGAGGAAGGUGGGGAUGACGUCAAAUCAUCAUGCCCCUUAUGAUUUGGGCUACACACGUGCUACAAUGGACAAUACAAAGGGCAGCGAAACCGCGAGGUCAAGCAAAUCCCAUAAAGUUGUUCUCAGUUCGGAUUGUAGUCUGCAACUCGACUACAUGAAGCUGGAAUCGCUAGUAAUCGUAGAUCAGCAUGCUACGGUGAAUACGUUCCCGGGUCU